Molecule: ribosomal RNA, 305 nt
Filed under: uncultured bacterium
Lineage: Bacteria
Description: bacterial SSU rRNA
Rfam family: Bacterial small subunit ribosomal RNA
Source: RNAcentral
UACCUACGGGACGCAGCAGUGGGGAAUAUUGGACAAUGGGGGGAACCCUGAUCCAGCGACGCCGCGUGAGUGAAGAAGUAUUUCGGUAUGUAAAGCUCUAUCAGCAGGGAAGAAAAUGACGGUACCUGACUAAGAAGCCCCGGCUAACUACGUGCCAGCAGCCGCGGUAAUACGUAGGGGGCAAGCGUUAUCCGGAUUUACUAGGUGUAAAGGGAGCGCAGGCGGCAUGGCAAGUCAGAUGUGAAAGCCCGGGGCUCAACCCCGGGACUGCAUUUGAAACUGUCAGGCUGGAGUGCAGGAGAGGC